This 68-nucleotide transfer RNA is filed under the name Mactra cumingii. RNAcentral describes it as "tRNA-Asn". Lineage: Eukaryota; Metazoa; Mollusca; Bivalvia; Venerida; Mactridae. The record is from RNAcentral.
UAAACCUUAGUUUAUUUAGAAUGGUCGAUUGUUAGUUGAUAGGAAGGCUUAGUAGUGCCUAGGUUUAG